Molecule: ribosomal RNA, 253 nt
Filed under: uncultured bacterium
Lineage: Bacteria
Description: partial 16S ribosomal RNA
Rfam family: Bacterial small subunit ribosomal RNA
Source: RNAcentral
UACGGGGGGGGCGAGCGUUGUUCGGAAUUACUGGGCGUAAAGGGCGCGUAGGCGGUUUGCUAAGUUGGAUGUGAAAACUCUGGGCUUAACCCAGAGCCUGCAUUCAAAACUGACAGGCUAGAGUUCUGGAGGGGAUAGCGGAAUUCCUGGUGUAGCGGUGAAAUGCGUAGAUAUCAGGAGGAACACCGGUGGCGAAGGCGGCUAUCUGGACAGAAACUGACGCUGAGGCGCGAAAGCUAGGGGAGCAAACGGG